AAGAAGAAGAAGCAGCAGCCGCCUUAGCCAUGCGCAUUCUGCUAUCUAAUUCUGAAGCUUAAACAGCAAAAGCGUUAUUGGAUGGAAUAGUGAAGAGAGCAAAGCACACAAAUGACACAUGGCUACAAGGCUACAACCCUCUAUGCAUGGAUGCGGUGGUCAAAGGUAGUUGGUGGUGAGCGGUGACCAGAUGUUUUCAGUGGCCAGCCGCACUACAGUCGCCUUUUCUUCUUUUUUUUGGACAUCACAACAAUGACUUUCGGUUAAACGCUAUAUUAUUGAGGUAAGGAAAAGUUUAGGGGCAGCAAUUUUAUUGUAUUCUGACCAGUCAUUCGAUGAAAUCUCAAAUCAAUCUCACACCAUCAAAUCAUCAUUGAUGGUUAAUUGAUGGCUACCAAUCACAAAUGUUGCUGCCCUAACAUUGCUCAUUG
This is a long non-coding RNA of Arachis stenosperma, 431 nucleotides long. RefSeq lists it as uncharacterized. Lineage: Eukaryota; Viridiplantae; Streptophyta; Magnoliopsida; Fabales; Fabaceae. The transcript has 3 exons. The record is from RefSeq and is a predicted model, not a curated record.